AAUAAUGCAAUUUAAUUGUUAUAAGAGUUAAUUAAUAGUAAAGUAAAAUUUAAUUUAAAAGUUAUUAGGUGAAAUUAGUAAGUUUUAUAAAAAUUUGGUUUGUAUGAAUUUAAGAAAUUUGUUUAUUAGACUAGGAUUAGAUACCCUAUUAUAAGAAAUGUAAAAUGAGCUCUUGAUUAGUAAUAGUUAUGAUCUUGAAAAUUAAAAAAUUUGGCGGUAUUUUAGUCUAUUCAGAGGAACCUGUCCUAUAAUCGAUAGUCCACGAGUUUAAAUUACUUUUUCUAUUAGUUUGUAUAUCGUCGUAGGUGGAAUAUUUUAUAAGAAUAAGAAUAUUCAUGAUUUUGUUUAAAAAAUAAAUCAGAUCAAGGUAUAGCUUAUGGGAAAGAAGAGAUGGGUUACAAUAAUUAUAAAUGAGGAUUUUAAAUAUUAGAUUUAAAUGAAUAUGGAUUUGAGAGUAAUUAAAUUUAGUUAAAUUUAAUGAUGAUAGCUCUAAAAUAUGUACAUAUCGCCCGUCGCUUUCACUUUAAGGUGAAAUAAGUCGUAACAAAGUAGAUUUACUGGAAAGUGAAUCUAGAAGGAUACAAGUUAGAGCUUGAUAAAAGCAUUUUAUUUACAUUAAAAAGUUAAUUGUGAAAUUCAAUUUAACUUGAAUAAAAAGAAUUAUUAAUAAUAAAUAUUAUUUUUUCUUUUUAAAAAAAAUAGUUAAUUAUUUUUAGUAUAAAUAAAAGAAAAAUUGCUGUUAAUUAUAGAGAAUUAGUAUUGUGAGAGAAAUUCAAUUAGUAUAAAAAAGUAAAAUUAAAAUUU
Molecule: ribosomal RNA, 804 nt
Filed under: Pterolophia rigida
Lineage: Eukaryota; Metazoa; Arthropoda; Insecta; Coleoptera; Cerambycidae
Description: partial 12S ribosomal RNA
Source: RNAcentral